CUUUUCUCCUCCCCUUCCUUCUCUUCGGACACUUCUCAGGGUUUAGAAAGAAUCACAGGAAGAUUCUCAAAACAAAGACUUCUGGUCACAUGCAAAGCCAAAUCACCAGGUCUUCUCAGGAGGAAACAUGAUUUGGGAACUGGAAGAGGCCCUCCCACAGGCUCACUUUAUAAACGACAUGACCUGGGUGCUGUGAGAGGAAGUGAAUUAGUGGCAGAGCGGAGGGACUCUUGACCCACGUGCCCUGAGCUGUACCAGCCUAUCUGCUUCCAAGCUAAAGCAUCUUCCUGGCGGGUACUUUUCCUGAGAACUUGCGCCGGGCUCUCCACCUGAUGGUCUCCUCCACCAGUCCUGUGUGGUCACUGCUGUGGUCUCGGAGACCCAGACG
This is a long non-coding RNA of Rhinolophus ferrumequinum (greater horseshoe bat), 388 nucleotides long. RefSeq lists it as uncharacterized. The record is from RefSeq and is a predicted model, not a curated record. Lineage: Eukaryota; Metazoa; Chordata; Mammalia; Chiroptera; Rhinolophidae. The transcript has 3 exons.